CAGCCGCCGCGGUAAUACCAGCACCUCGAGUGGUCAGGAGGUUUAUUGGGCCUAAAGCAUCCGUAGCCGGUUGCAUAAGUUUUCGGUUAAAUCUAUGCGCUUAACGUAUAGGCCGCCGAAAAUACUGUGCAGCUAGGGAGUGGGAGAGGUACACGGUACUCGAUAGGAAGGGGUAAAAUCCUUUGAUCUAUUGAUGACCACCUGUGGCGAAGGCGGUGUACCAGAACACGUUCGACGGUGAGGGAUGAAAGCUGGGGGAGCAAACCGGAUUAGAGACCCCCGUAGUCCCUGUCUCUUAUAC
RNAcentral lists this ribosomal RNA (301 nucleotides) under uncultured bacterium. RNAcentral describes it as "partial 16S ribosomal RNA". It matches the Rfam family "Archaeal small subunit ribosomal RNA", at positions 459 to 760 of the family's 1478-position model. The record is from RNAcentral.